Leopardus geoffroyi (Geoffroy's cat) is the source of this 1008-nucleotide long non-coding RNA. RefSeq lists it as uncharacterized. The transcript is spliced from 3 exons. The record is from RefSeq and is a predicted model, not a curated record. Lineage: Eukaryota; Metazoa; Chordata; Mammalia; Carnivora; Felidae.
UGUUGAGAGGGAUAAAGGUGUCUUUUGUUAAUGAAGGAGACCCCACUCAAGGGCGGGGAUGUUGCCAGGACGACCAACCAUGUGUGAUCAGAGGGUUGGAACUUCCGGCCCCACCCCCGACCUCUGUGGAGAGGGGAGGGGCUGGAGGCUGAAUCGGCCAAUGGCCAAAGAUCUAAUCAACUGUGGCUAUACAAAGAAGCCUCGGUAAAAAUGCCAAAGGACCGGGUUCAGAAGCUUCUGGAGAUUGGGAAGAGUGCUGUGCGGGGAGGGAUGGAAGCCCCACAGCCUUUCCCCAGACCUGUCCCUAUGAUCUCUUCCUCUGGCGGUUGAUUUUUAGCCUUUGUCACCUCCUUGAGCCACCAGUAAAGAAACCCUGCGAGUAACCAGAACAGCAAGUAACCAGAACUGCAGAAGCCACAUUUAAGUUUACGUUCGGGCACCUACAGAGGGAGACUCCUUCCAGUUACACCUCCCUCAUACGUAGGUUCAGGGCCCCGUUCCCCUGACUCUCAGGGCUGCCCGCACCCACAGACUUCACCGACGGCACUACGGACGGAUGCGGCCCGGCACCCGCGUGCUCCGGUGAGCGGCUGGCUGCAUGCACACUGCCUCCAGAGCUCGCUGCGGUGGGUGCUGGCCAGGGCACUUCCUCUCCACCUCAGCAGCCAACUUCAUCAAUAACCCGUCUCACCGCCUUUCCCCUUUUAUCCAGGAGAGACCACGGCAAAACAGAAACAUUAAAUAAAAGGUUUCCACGGUGUCUUGAACUACUUUACUAGUACGGAUGGCAUAACUUUAAGCGUCCCGAAGCUGCUUAGACUCAGACGGCAGAACCAGAUGACAACAGCUGAGUUUUCUGACAUCUAACAGACCCGUUAAAGAUCACUUAUCCAUAAAGCAGCUCAAAUGACAUGGCUAUUUAACAGAAACGUCUGGAACUAUUCACUAAGAACUGCUGAUAGGGUGACAAAGCAGCGCCACCAACUUGUACCGUAAGUCACAGGUACA